ACUUCCUGAGCCGGAACGAAAAGCUUUUUUUGGAAUGCGUGUUCUGAUGGGCUUUUGGCUUACGGUUGUGAUGUUGUGUUGUUGUGUUUGCAAUUGGGUCUGCUAUUUCAGGCCACGGUAGCGAAGCUACCCUUUGUCACUUCCUGUACAUUUACCCUGUCUGUCCAUAGUGAUUAAUGUAGCACCGCAAAUGCGGUGCUUUUUUUU
Molecule: non-coding RNA, 207 nt
Filed under: Enterobacter sp. kpr-6
Lineage: Bacteria; Pseudomonadati; Pseudomonadota; Gammaproteobacteria; Enterobacterales; Enterobacteriaceae
Description: GcvB RNA
Rfam family: GcvB RNA
About the family: The gcvB gene encodes a small untranslated RNA involved in expression of the dipeptide and oligopeptide transport systems in Escherichia coli. Included several unknown homologues in alignment (Bateman A pers obs). It base-pairs with SorC.
Source: RNAcentral